Molecule: ribosomal RNA, 440 nt
Filed under: uncultured bacterium
Lineage: Bacteria
Description: partial 16S ribosomal RNA
Rfam family: Bacterial small subunit ribosomal RNA
Source: RNAcentral
CCUACGGGAGGCAGCAGUGGGGAAUAUUGCACAAUGGGGGAAACCCUGAUGCAGCGACGCCGCGUGAGUGAAGAAGUAGUUCGUUAUGUAAAGCUCUAUCAGCAGGGGAGAAAAUGACGGUACCUGAGUAAGAAGCCCCGGCUAACUACGUUCCAGCAGCCGCGGUAAUACGUAGGGGGCAAGCGUUAUCCGGAUUUACUGGGUGUAAAGGGAGCGUAGACGGGAGUGCAAGUCUGGAGUGAAAGGCGGGGGCUCAACCCCCGGACUGCUCUGGAAACUGGACGGCUGGAGUGCAGGAGAGGUAAGUGGAAUUCCUAGUGUAGCGGUGAAAUGCGUAGAUAUUAGGAGGAACACCAGUGGCGAAGGCGGCUUACUAGACUGUAACUGACGUUGAGGCUCGAAAGCGUGGGGAGCAAACAGGAUUAGAUACCCCGGUAGUC